Long non-coding RNA from Gallus gallus (chicken), 406 nucleotides. The record is from Ensembl. Lineage: Eukaryota; Metazoa; Chordata; Aves; Galliformes; Phasianidae.
UUGCACCCCAAAAAUUUCGGAGAAGACUCCCCAGGCCAACACAUCCACUGUGGGGCAGAGAAAGAGCCCUGGCACAGACCAGGUAUAUUACAGGUUGGCCAGAGGCUUUUUUUCCCUGCAAGGGAAACUUGCGGGACCGACAAAGUGCAGGAAGUAACUAAAGGAUUGUUACAAGAGACAAUUCCAGGAUUUGGGGUUCCAGAACAUCAUAUAUGGUGAUCAAGGUGAAAGAGCAAGCAUCCUGGAUCCUCUUACACGAAAAAAUAGAACUUCAGUAGAAAUUGAAGAUCUUCUGACUAGUAGGAGUCAUGAAAGAUGAUGCUUCUCAUGAGAAGUCCAUCAUGGGCUUACUUAACUCACAUCCAUAGAAGACAUCUCGUUCAUAGAUAUUUAUCUAAAAUGGCAG